RNAcentral lists this ribosomal RNA (382 nucleotides) under uncultured eukaryote. RNAcentral's name for it is "partial 18S ribosomal RNA". It matches the Rfam family "Eukaryotic small subunit ribosomal RNA", at positions 592 to 976 of the family's 1831-position model. The record is from RNAcentral.
UGUAAGCGUAUACCAAAGUUGUUGCAGUUAAAACGCUCGUAGUCGGAAUUUGGCAGUUCCGGAUGUGUGUACGUCGUGUGCGCACUUCGCGGGGAUUGCUUUUGUGGUCUUGCGUAGGAUGAGGCACUUUUAUUAGUGAACGUCCUCACGCAACCACUUUUUACUGUGAGAAAAUCAGAGUGCUCAAAGCAGGCAUUUGCCGUGAAUGUAUUAGCAUGGAAUAAUAGAAUAGGACUUGGUUCUAUUUUGUUGGUUUGUUGGGACUGAGUAAUGAUUAAGAGGGACAGUUGGGGGCAUUUGUAUUUCGGUGCUAGAGGUGAAAUCCUUAGAUUACCGAAAGACAAACUGCUGCGAAAGCGUCUGCCAAGGAUGUUUUCAUUGA